UCGGAAGGUGCGGCUGGAUCACCUCCUUCUAAGGAGUAAUUACCUACUGUUUAAUUUUGAGAGUUCUUAAAUGAACUCAUAUUGUGGGGGUGUAGCUCAGCUGGGAGAGCACUUGCCUUGCACGCAAGGGGUCAGGAGUUCGAUCCUCCUCAUCUCCACCAUAUUAGUACUUUGAAAACUGCAUAACAUUUAGUGAUGAUUAAAUAAACCAAUUAUAAGAGAAGAAAACUCUUUAAAAAAUAACACUUUUAAUAACU
RNAcentral lists this transfer RNA (257 nucleotides) under Paraclostridium bifermentans. Its description in RNAcentral is "partial 16S-23S ribosomal RNA intergenic spacer". The stretch from base 86 to 158 matches the Rfam family "tRNA". Lineage: Bacteria; Bacillati; Bacillota; Clostridia; Peptostreptococcales; Peptostreptococcaceae. The record is from RNAcentral.